GACGAACCACACAAACGUUAUUCGGAAUUACUGGGCGUAAAGCGCACGUAGGCGGCGCCGUAAGUCAGGGGUGAAAUCCCGGAGCUCAACUCCGGAACUGCCCUUGAAACUGCAGUGCUAGAAUCCUGGAGAGGCGAGUGGAAUUCCGAGUGUAGAGGUGAAAUUCGUAGAUAUUCGGAAGAACACCAGUGGCGAAGGCGACUCGCUGGACAGGUAUUGACGCUGAGGUGCGAAAGCGUGGGGAGCAAACAGG
RNAcentral lists this ribosomal RNA (253 nucleotides) under uncultured bacterium. RNAcentral's name for it is "partial 16S ribosomal RNA". It matches the Rfam family "Bacterial small subunit ribosomal RNA", at positions 524 to 776 of the family's 1533-position model. The record is from RNAcentral.